Molecule: ribosomal RNA, 253 nt
Filed under: uncultured bacterium
Lineage: Bacteria
Description: partial 16S ribosomal RNA
Rfam family: Bacterial small subunit ribosomal RNA
Source: RNAcentral
AACGUAGGAGACAAACGUUAUCCGGAGUUACUGGGCGUAAAGAGCGUGUAGGCGGCCCGGUAAGUCCGCUGUGAAAGUCCAGGGCUCAACCCUGGAAUGCCGGUGGAAACUGUCGGGCUAGAGUCCGGAAGAGGCGAGUGGAAUUCCUGGUGUAGCGGUGAAAUGCGCAGAUAUCAGGAGGAACACCAAUGGCGAAGGCAGCUCGCUGGGACGGUACUGACGCUGAGACGCGAAAGCGUGGGGAGCAAACAGG